RNAcentral lists this long non-coding RNA (6083 nucleotides) under Sus scrofa (pig). Its description in RNAcentral is "lncRNA (ENSSSCG00060000294.1)". The record is from RNAcentral. Lineage: Eukaryota; Metazoa; Chordata; Mammalia; Artiodactyla; Suidae.
GGGGACAGCUCUGCAACUGCUAGCCCCAGCUCCUGAGGGUCCACUUAACUCCACCCGCAAGUUCAUAAUUAGUCCCCUGUACGUAAACUCUCCUUUAAUCUAGACUCAUCAGAGAGUACCAUCUGUUUCCUGCCGAGACCCUGACUAAUAGAGACAUGAAACCCACUUUUGAGAUGUGUGCACACUGGAGGGAGGCGGGGCGGGAGAAGCAAGAUGAAGAGAAGGAAGGGACAGGACAGGAGAACAGGAACGUGUCUCAGAGAAAAAAAAAAGCUACGCUUUUUGAAAGUUAUCUUGCAGUUCAGGAGCUCGGAAGCGAUCCUGGAGGCAGUGGUGGGACAUCACUGCAGGACCUGCUCCGGAGAAGAGGACUGCCCUCACAGCUGCAUCGCGCAAGAUGACUGACGAGCAGCGUGGGAGAAAGCAGGGCUGGGAACAGGAAGAUUGGUCGGUAAAAGUUAUUACCAGUGCACAGCUCCCAGCCUUCACUGCUCACAGUCAGGGAGCUGCUGAAGUAGAGCCCGGAUGGCAUCUCACUGGGGGAAGCCUGGGAGACUCAUGCCUGGGACAGGGGAAAGUCAGAUGGCAUCUCAGUCUCCAUGGACUUUGUGACUACAUUUUCUGGAUCUUCCCAAGAUGGGGAAUUUGCAGUGUGCAGGCUCCUGCCUCCAGAUCAACCCUAGAGAAGCCAGAGAAGCAAGAGGGGAAGAUUCCGGGAAGGGAGAAUGACAAUGACCACGCAGACCUGCUGCGUGCAGUUAUCAAGCCCACUUUACAGAUGAGAAAACGGAGACACGAACACUGGUUAAGCAAUCGGCCUGCAAUUGAUGACAGGCAGUGGUGGGAUUUGAACCCAAGCAGUGUGAGUCCAGCCUGGAACAUUGUACCCGCCGCCCUCUGGCUGGAUCAGGGAGCCCAGCAGAAGGGGAAAUGCGAGGAUGAAGGCCGCAAGAGAGGGAAACUUGGGAGCUCUUCCCGAAGCCUGUGGAACGGAUGAAGGGAGGGAAGAUAGAACACGAAAGCCAAGAAAUAAAGGGGAUGCAGUCAGAGGGGCAAUGUGCGGAGUGGAGAGACCCGGAACGAGGAACCGAGGAGGAAAAUGGGACAACUCCAUCGUCCCUAAACCCACUGCUUACGGAAGGCCCAACCCCGCUCCUGACCUGACAAGGGUGUGCGUUCCAGAGCCCACCCCCUCUGCCCGUCCUCCACCUGCCAGCGGUGGGCGACUUGUCAACAAAACCCCGAACCCCGACGUGGCCGUCCUGCUGGCUCUCACGGAGGAGGUCUCCCCGUCCAAGUCCGGCCCUCCGGGGUGGGAGAAACGGAGGGGAAAGCAGAGCCCCGUACGGGAGGCAGAGCGGCCUCCUCUGCGAUGCAGCUGAGAGCCAGACAGAGACGAUGGAGGGGCCUCUGGUCCUGAACCGUCUUUACUGGCGCCACGGACACGGCCGUUGGCUUCCCAGUCGUCCGUGGCUGGUGAGGCCCACAGCAGCAGGGCCGAGGAGCCGCGACAGAGACGGGCCGGCCCACAAAGAGGACACCUUAUUUACUAGCUGGCUCUUGACAGAAAACAUCAGCUGACCCCUGACCUAGGUUAGGGCUUCUCAGUCAAGAUGUGGCAGGACAUUUUAUCCCUUGCUGUCCCCAUCCGUCCAUCCCACCCCCGCGGGCUCCUCGCUGGGAUUCACCCUCACCUGCGGCCCCCUGGGGGGACGUGCGGCUGCUUGGUUUGCACCUGAGCAGGGAGAGGGCGGUUUCUUCUCCUCUUUUAGGGAAAAGCUGUCAACAACCAGAGGACAGUUCCCUCAGCCCCCAGUUCACUUAGGGAGAGCGAGAACUUGACCUACUGCUCAAGGGAAAAAAAAAAAAAAAACACACACACCUGGAGUCGGGGCUGAGGGCAAGAGGGGCUCUCUCUGCGGGAGAGGGGGUGUCUGUCCGCCUGGCCUGGACCCCCCACCCCCCCACCCCUGCAGAGAUAAGGUUUCUCAGCAGAGGAGGCGGCCCCUUCCUGCAGAGGUUCCUGACUUGGCUGCAGUGUUCGGUGUUGCUGACACGCUUUUCUGCUUCUCAAGUUAUCCGAGCACAGGCUGAGUUGGGGGGGAGGGGGGGAGAGGGGCCGGGGUGCCCGGCCAGACGCAGCCUUCCUCAAAUUAGGUCACUCUACGUUGAGGUCACGUGAAACCAAGGACCCUUUUCCAGGCUUCCUGACAUUGGCACGGCUCCCUGUGCCAUCUCUGGAAUGCAGGGCGGUGAACACUGCAGAGCAGGGCACCACACGUGCAGAGAAGCGUGAGGCACGGAACCGCGCUGGGGGAGAAGCACUGACGUCCACUCUCUGCAGAAUGACGCUGGAGACGUGGACGCAUCUGCCCCUGGCUCUGAGUCUCCCCGCUGACCUGGCCUGUCUUUCUAACUCCCACGUUUAUUCCCGGGCCGCCCUAUCCUCCGAGAGCGACCACACACGGGGGCCUACGUGCCCACCUGGCCGACAGCAUAAAGCUCAAAGCCUGACUCUCCGCACGCCCUGCCCUUCCUCCCCUCUCCAGCAAGUCCUUACUCCCUGCACUGCCUCAGUGACGCUUCUGUGUGGCUCCAUAAGGGACCAGGAACUUAAAGAUGGAAGAGGACCGUUGCAGAGAUUUACUUAGGGUCCCCGAGCAAGCCGGCUGCUGAGGGGCGCUGCAAGCCAGGUUUUCUGGGGCGCCCCCACUGCAUCACACCUGUCGGCCUCUGGCCGCUGCGCUCCGAGCAUCUCCGUACGCCUGGCGGUUGAAUGGCAGGCAGAGUGGACGCUCCCUGAGAGCAGGGAGUCUGCGGGUCACGCUCUGCGACAUCCCUGUUACAGGCACUCCACACCUGCCUGUCCGGUGACGGUCUCUAGGCCGGCCUCAUCACCGCCUCAUCCCCGUCCACGUGACUUGUUUCCCUUCCUUUUUCUUUUGUCCUCUUAGGGCCGCAACCACGGCAUAUGGUGGUUCCCAGGCUAGGGGUCCGAUCAGCACUACAAUUGCCGGCCUACACCACAGCUCACAGCCACUCGGAAUCUGAGCCAUGUCUCCAACCUACACCAAAGCUCACGGCAACACCGGAUCCUUAACCCACCGAGCGAGGCCAGGGAUCGAACCUGCAUCCUCGUGGAUGCUAGUCACAUGCGUUUCCACGGAGCCACGACAGGAACGCCUCCCUUUCAUUCUUUAGAGGGCCAGAUUGUGGUUUUUCUUUAAUGUGGGGUCAAGCUGGUGACCUCAACCUCUGCCUCCCAGGGCCUUAAAUGGAAAUAACAUCCUGAGCGUAAGGUGAGCCCCAGGUCCAGCACGCGCGGCUCCUUCUUUGGCUUCCCUGCUGUCAGGAUGUCUCCUUUCAUGCUUGGGCAUCGCUGACUCCACUGUUGACAUUCUGCCUCACUCAGCAGCUCCAUCUGGUCGUCAGAUCCCUCCUCCCUGUUUGAAUUCUGUAUCUAUGUGUUUAAGUAAAGCCAGAAAACACUCACUCCGCCAGCUCCAAAUGAGUUCUUCCUUUCAUGCCUUUUCUGUUUCCUGGCUCCAGGCCAGAAUCUCCCUCCGUUAGAAUUAGGAAAUGGGGCUCAGUCAUAUGUCUUCACCUAGUUAGCACCUCUCUUCUGGGACGGUUUCUCUUCGGGUGGCUCCCGCACGUGCCAGGCUUUGCUCCCAGUAAUUCCCAAGUUGUGAGUGUUGGGGGCAGGGGCCGGGCGGUGUGAGUCUGAGCUCUGACUUUCAGCACGUGGGGCGUGGGGGGAGGGGGAGGGAGGGUGCCGUGUGUUGUCACACGAGCCAUUCUGUCACAGUGAUGGAAGGAAACAGUUUCUUGGCCACACGUCCAGGAUGCGCUCUAAGGAAGCCAGGAAGGAUGGCUCAUCUCUCUCGAGCUAUAUUUGAAACCUCUACAUGUACCAACAGCUUUUCUCUCCUUGUCUACCUCGAGUGUUGUUGUUGUUAUUUUAUUUUUUUAUUUAUCUUGUUUUUUUUUUUUUCUUUUUCGGACCACGCUUGUGGCAAGUGGGAGUCAGGCUAGGGGUCAAAUCAGAGCUGCAGCUGCCACAGCCACAGCCACGCCAGAUCCGAGCUGCAUCUAUAACCUACACUACGGUUUGUGGCAACGCUGGGUCCUUAACCCACUGAGUGAGGCCAGGGAUGGAACCCUGGUCCUUGUGGACACUAGUUGGGUUCAUUACUGCUGAGCCGUGAUGGGAAAUCCCUGUUGUUAUUUUCAUUUUAAUUUUUUAUGCUGAGUUUCAUCAAGGUACCUAGUAAUCAGUCACUCAAGUCAAGAUCCCGUAGAAGUCACGAGCUGGCACCAGCUCUCCUCCUGGUGUCGCUGGCAUGUCUUGGGAAGCUGCCUCCACCCUGCUCCUCCUCUCCGUCCCCCUGACGCUCCCCUGUACCACCCUGCACGGGGACCAUCGGCUUCCUUGUCUCUCCCUCUCUGUCUCCUCUUUUCACACAGAGCCUGGCUCCUGAUAGAAGAUCAGCAAAAGGCAGUCGAGUGGAUGAAUAAAUGAAAUUUUCAUGACAUCCAUUUUCAUUCUCAGGUUUCAAUGAGGACGGAUGUACAAGUAUCACAAAAGCAGAAAUGACCUGAGGGAAAUCUCAUAUUGAUUAUCCAAUUAUUUUUUCAGUUUUAAACAGACUGCUUCUGCAGUUCCCCCGUUUCAGUGACCUACGACUCUGUACCCACCAGCUCCACCAUUUCUUACGGGUCUGUAGUGGGCGGUUCUUCAGCGCCGAGCACGGUGGCCGAGGCUGCACGCGAGCUGUGUUCAUGCAGGGGCCAGGGCUGGGGCAUUCCUGAUGGUCUCUGCCCUCUAAGCUCUUUCUCACAGGGCUGCUAACCAUUCAAUGAUUCUGCCCAAGCUCCUUAAAGCACAGCAGAUGGAUUCGAAGAGGAAGCAUCUCAAGAGGCAAAGCCUCAAGGUACCAGUGCUGACUGAGGCUCUGUUUCAUCCUAUUGGCUGCUGUUCUGUUGGCCAAAUCCAGAGUCAGCGUGGAAGGGGCCACAGGAGGACGUGUCACGUCUACCACACCUCCGGUCCUUCCUCAGUAUGUUCUUGGCUCAUAUUCUGAUGGUUCGGAUGCACCUUGUAGUCUGGUUGACCUUGAGCUGACCAACAACAUAUGCUCAACACCGACUGGAGGCCAAGCGAUAGGAAAUAGGGUCCUGACCUCAAGACUAUACAUAUGUAUAUGUGUAUGUAUAUAUACAUGUACAUGUGUGUGUAUAUAUAUGUAUGUAUAUGUAUAUAUGUGUAUAUAUAUGUAUAUGAGACCUACAGGAUACGUCUUUGGAAAGAUGUUAAGCCAUCCACCAGUGUCAUUUAUGAAUAUCAUAAACACGUUGGUUGCUGGAGCUACUGAAGUAAGCGCAGUGAAAACGGGAGUCAUCAGAGUUCCUAUAUGGUCCAGACUGACACCUCUAUUUUCCUGCGAGAUAUCUGCUGUCUGUUGAUGCCAAUUCUAAGUACAGGGACUCCAGUAAUUCUCUUUGAGAAAAACUUUGCCCAAUGACUAAAACAGUUGUAGCUCUUUGCCGUGAUUAUCAUACAAUCUAUACGGUUGCUUUGUUCAGCAUUUAGCCUCCUCGCUCCUAAUUAUUCACCUAAAUCAUCCAAGGCUACCCUGAAGAAGGUGAGUGAGAGGCAGUAUCAUCAAAGGCAGUGGUUCUCAGUCUGGUCCUCGACCGGCAGCAUCUUGGAAGUGAUCAGACAUGCACCUUCUCAGGCCCCACUCGGAUCUACUGAAUCAGAAAUUCUGGGGUUAGGGCCCAGCAAUCUGUGUUUUGACAUCCGUCAGUGAUUUGGAGGCCUACUAAGGUUUGAGAAUCACAGCUGCGGGAGUUCUGUGGUGGCUCAGCCGGUUAGGAACCUCCCCCAGUGUGUCUGAGGAUGCAGGUUCAAUCCCUGGCCUUGCCCAGUGGGAUAAGGAUUCGGCGUUGCUGCGAGCUGCAUGUGGCUGUGGCUGUGGUGUAGGCCGGUAGCUUCAGCCCUGAUUCAACCCUAGCCCAGGAACUUCCACAUACCACAGGUGCGGCCAUGGCCAUAACAAGAAAAGAAAAGGAAAAAAAAA